This 441-nucleotide ribosomal RNA is filed under the name uncultured bacterium. RNAcentral describes it as "partial 16S ribosomal RNA". It matches the Rfam family "Bacterial small subunit ribosomal RNA", at positions 338 to 795 of the family's 1533-position model. The record is from RNAcentral.
CCUACGGGAGGCAGCAGUGGGGAAUAUUGCACAAUGGGGGAAACCCUGAUGCAGCGACGCCGCGUGAGUGAAGAAGUCUUUCGGUAUGUAACGCUCUAUCAUCAGGGAAGAAUACAGACGUUACCCGACUAAUAAGCCCCGGCUAACUACAGGCCAGCAGCCGCGGUAAUACGUAGGGGGCAAGCGUUAUCCGGAUUUACUGGUUGUAAAGGGAGCGUAGACGGCUGUGCAAGUCUGAAGUGAAAGCCCAGGGCUCAACCCUGGGACUGCUUUGGGAACUGUGGGGCUAGAGUGCUGGAGAGGAAAGUGGAAUUCCUAGUGUAGCGGUGAAAUGCGUAGAUAUUAGGAGGAACACCAGUGGCGAAGGCGGCUUACUGGACAGUAACUGACGCUGAGGCUCGAAAGCGUGGGGAGCAAACAGGAUUAGAUACCCCAGUAGUC